RNAcentral lists this long non-coding RNA (257 nucleotides) under Homo sapiens (human). RNAcentral describes it as "HSALNT0342651". The record is from RNAcentral. Lineage: Eukaryota; Metazoa; Chordata; Mammalia; Primates; Hominidae.
CAAAAUAAAAUGGGGAAAAAAAGUCUUCUGCCCAUAUUAUCUCUUUGAAACAUUUGAAGAACAGAUUCAGAAUUUAUAUAAAGGAGGAAGAAAACAACACCACCACCAAAGGCUGCAGUACCAAGUAGAAGUAAAAUCUUAUUCCAUUAAAGGAAAAUCAUCAAGUGGAACUAAAAAUACAAAAUGAAAAAAAAGUGAUGUGAGCUGCCCUGGCAGACGGACAAGAAAGAAAGUGAAUACUAUUUCAGGUACCUUUA